Molecule: ribosomal RNA, 1157 nt
Filed under: Escherichia coli
Lineage: Bacteria; Pseudomonadati; Pseudomonadota; Gammaproteobacteria; Enterobacterales; Enterobacteriaceae
Description: partial 23S ribosomal RNA
Rfam family: Bacterial large subunit ribosomal RNA
Source: RNAcentral
GGGUUGUGAGGUUAAGCGACUAAGCGUACACGGUGGAUGCCCUGGCAGUCAGAGGCGAUGAAGGACGUGCUAAUCUGCGAUAAGCGUCGGUGAGGUGAUAUGAACCGUUAUAACCGGCGAUUUCCGAAUGGGGAAACCCAGUGUGUUUCGACACACUAUCAUUAACUGAAUCCAUAGGUUAAUGAGGCGAACCGGGGGAACUGAAACAUCUAAGUACCCCGAGGAAAAGAAAUCAACCGAGAUUCCCCCAGUAGCGGCGAGCGAACGGGGAGGAGCCCAGAGCCUGAAUCAGUGUGUGUGUUAGUGGAAGCGUCUGGAAAGGCGUGCGAUACAGGGUGACAGCCCCGUACACAAAAAUGCACAUAUUGUGAGCUCGAUGAGUAGGGCGGGACACGUGGUAUCCUGUCUGAAUAUGGGGGGACCAUCCUCCAAGGCUAAAUACUCCUGACUGACCGAUAGUGAACCAGUACCGUGAGGGAAAGGCGAAAAGAACCCCGGCGAGGGGAGUGAAAAAGAACCUGAAACCGUGUACGUACAAGCAGUGGGAGCCUCUUAAUGGGGUGACUGCGUACCUUUUGUAUAAUGGGUCAGCGACUUAUAUUCUGUAGCAAGGUUAACCGAAUAGGGGAGCCGAAGGGAAACCGAGUCUUAACUGGGCGUUAAGUUGCAGGGUAUAGACCCGAAACCCGGUGAUCUAGCCAUGGGCAGGUUGAAGGUUGGGUAACACUAACUGGAGGACCGAACCGACUAAUGUUGAAAAAUUAGCGGAUGACUUGUGGCUGGGGGUGAAAGGCCAAUCAAACCGGGAGAUAGCUGGUUCUCCCCGAAAGCUAUUUAGGUAGCGCCUCGUGAAUUCAUCUCCGGGGGUAGAGCACUGUUUCGGCAAGGGGGUCAUCCCGACUUACCAACCCGAUGCAAACUGCGAAUACCGGAGAAUGUUAUCACGGGAGACACACGGCGGGUGCUAACGUCCGUCGUGAAGAGGGAAACAACCCAGACCGCCAGCUAAGGUCCCAAAGUCAUGGUUAAGUGGGAAACGAUGUGGGAAGGCCCAGACAGCCAGGAUGUUGGCUUAGAAGCAGCCAUCAUUUAAAGAAAGCGUAAUAGCUCACUGGUCGAGUCGGCCUGCGCGGAAGAUGUAACGGGGCUAAACCAUG